RNAcentral lists this ribosomal RNA (426 nucleotides) under uncultured bacterium. RNAcentral describes it as "partial 16S ribosomal RNA". It matches the Rfam family "Bacterial small subunit ribosomal RNA", at positions 354 to 796 of the family's 1533-position model. The record is from RNAcentral.
GUGAGGAAUUUUCCGCAAUGGGCGAAAGCCUGACGGAGCAAUGCCGCGUGAAGGAUGAAGGCCUAUGGGUUGUAAACUUCUUUUCUCAGAAAAGAAUUAUGACGGUAUCUGAGGAAUAAGCAUCGGCUAACUCUGUGCCAGCAGCCGCGGUAAGACAGAGGAUGCAAGCGUUAUCCGGAAUGAUUGGGCGUAAAGCGUCUGUAGGUUGUUUAAAAAGUAUUCUGUCAAAGAUUAGGGCUUAACCCUAGAUAGGCAGAAUAAACUUUUAAGCUAGAGUUUGGUAGAGGCAGAGGGAAUUCCCGGUGGAGCGGUGAAAUGCGUAGAUAUCAGGAGGAACACCAAAGGCGAAGGCACUCUGCUGGGCCAAUACUAACACUGAGAGACGAAAGCGAGGGGAGCAAAUGGGAUUAGAAACCCUAGUAGUCC